GAGUGGCGAACGGGUGAGUAAUACGUGAGUAACCUGCCCUUGACUCUGGGAUAAGCCUGGGAAACCGGGUCUAAUACUGGAUACGACUCCUCAUCGCAUGGUGGGGUGUGGAAAGGGUUUUACUGGUUUUGGAUGGGCUCACGGCCUAUCAGCUUGUUGGUGGGGUAAUGGCCUACCAAGGCGACGACGGGGAGCCGGCCUGAGAGGGUGACCGGCCACACUGGGACUGAGACACGGCCCAGACUCCUACGGGAGGCAGCAGUGGGGAAUAUUGCACAAUGGGCGCAAGCCUGAUGCAGCGACGCCGCGUGAGGGAUGACGGCCUUCGGGUUGUAAUCCUCUUUCAGCAGGGAAGAAGCCACAGGUGACGGUACCUGCAGAAGAGGCGCCGGCUAACUACGUGCCAGCAUCCGUGGUAAUACGUAGGGUGCAUGCGUUGUCCGGAAUUAUUGCUCGUAA
RNAcentral lists this ribosomal RNA (459 nucleotides) under Kocuria flava. RNAcentral's name for it is "bacterial SSU rRNA". It matches the Rfam family "Bacterial small subunit ribosomal RNA", at positions 93 to 563 of the family's 1533-position model. Lineage: Bacteria; Bacillati; Actinomycetota; Actinomycetes; Micrococcales; Micrococcaceae. The record is from RNAcentral.